UCGUCAGACGGAGGUUAGGCGGUCCCUAAGGUGAGGCCAGAAGGCGUAGCCGAUGGACAUCCAGUAGACAUUCUGGACCCGGGUUUAUCAGCCAUGGGAGGACGCUUCUCGAUAUUCCAUCCCGCACUGUUGGUAGUUGCGGGCUAGGCAAAGGUUUGGCUAGUUGAAAGACUAGCGUAAUGACUAAUGCCGGGGAAGGGAACUCUUCGGAGUGAACGAACUGGAAUUGAGGGGGGCCGAGAAAGCCCCACAGCAUUAAUGAUAAGUUCGACCGUACUGUAAACCGACACAGGUGGGUGAGUCGAGGAGACUAAGGCGUUCGAGAGAACUCUCGUUAAGGAACUAGGCAAAUGAGCCCCGUAACUUCGGGAUAAGGGGCGCCAGCGCAAGCUGGCCGCAGCGAAGCAGCCCAGGCGACUGUUUACCAAAAACACAGGUCUCUGCUAACACGAAAGUGGAUGUAUAGGGGCUGACGCCUGCCCAAUGCCAGUAGGUUAACAGGAGAUGUCAGGAGUAAUCCGAAGCAUUGAAUCGAAGCCCUGGUGAAUGGCGGCCGUAACUCUAACGGUCCUAAGGUAGCGAAAUUCCUUGUCGGCUAAAUACCGACCCGCAUGAAAGGCGUAACGACUUGGGCACUGUCUCAACGAGAAGCUCGGUGAAAUUGUAGCACCCGUGAAGAUGCGGGUUACGCGCAGUAGGACGGAAAGACCCCGUGGAGCUUUACUACACCCUGUCACUGCGAAUUGGGUGUGGAUGUAGAGAGUAGGUGGGAGCUUAGGCACCAAUGGAACACCACCCUUCUACAUCUGGUUCGCUAACCGUCACCAUUAUCUGGUGACGAGACAAUGACAGGCGGGUAGUUUGACUGGGGCGGUCGCCUCCCAAAAGGUAACGGAGGCGCCUAAAGUUGCACUCAGGCUGGUUGGAAAUCAGCCGUCGAGCGUAUAGGUAUAUAGUGCGAUUGACUGCGAGACAAACAGGUCGAGCAGGGACGAAAGUCGAGCUAAGUGACCCUCUGGUGGUGCGUGGGCACGCCAGGGUUCAUCGGAUAUAAGCUACCCCGGGGAUAACAGGCUGAUCUUGCCCGAGCGCUCACAGCGACGGCAUGGUUUGGCACCUCGAUGUCGGCUCGUCUCAUCCUGGGGCUGUACACGGUCCCAAGGGUUCCGGAGUUCACGGAUUAAAGAGGCACGCGAGCUGGGUUCAGAACGGCGUGAGCCAGUUCGGUCCCUAUCCACUGCGCGCGGAGGAAAUUUGAGAGGACUCGCUCCUAGUACGAGAGGACCGGAGUGAACCGACCUCUGGUGUACCUGUUGUGCCGCCAGGCGCAUACGCAGGGUAGCCACGUCGGGUCGUGAUAAGCGCUGAAAGCAUCUAAGCGCCAAGCACACCUCAAGAUGAGAUUUCCCAUCGAAAGAGUAAGGCCCCCGGAAGACUACCGGGUUGAUAGGUCGCAGGUGUGAGCGCAGUAAUGUGUUAAGCUGAGCGACACUAAUUGGCCGAGGGCUU
RNAcentral lists this ribosomal RNA (1509 nucleotides) under metagenome. RNAcentral describes it as "bacterial LSU rRNA". It matches the Rfam family "Bacterial large subunit ribosomal RNA", at positions 1366 to 2925 of the family's 2925-position model. The record is from RNAcentral.